AGCGGUAUAGCCAAGUGGUUAGGCAAGGGACUGCAAAUCCUUGAUAUCUCGGUUCGAAUCCGUGUAUCGCUU
This 72-nucleotide transfer RNA is filed under the name Polytoma uvella. RNAcentral describes it as "tRNA-Cys". It matches the Rfam family "tRNA". Rfam says of the family: Transfer RNA (tRNA) molecules are approximately 80 nucleotides in length. Their secondary structure includes four short double-helical elements and three loops (D, anti-codon, and T loops). Lineage: Eukaryota; Viridiplantae; Chlorophyta; Chlorophyceae; Chlamydomonadales; Chlamydomonadaceae. The record is from RNAcentral.